AUUGAACGCUGGCGGCAGGCCUAACACAUGCAAGUCGAGCGGUAACACAGGGAGCUUGCUCUCGGGUGACGAGCGGCGGACGGGUGAGUAAUGUCUGGGAAACUGCCUGAUGGAGGGGGAUAACUACUGGAAACGGUAGCUAAUACCGCAUAACGUCGCAAGACCAAAGAGGGGGACCUUCGGGCCUCUUGCCAUCAGAUGUGCCCAGAUGGGAUUAGCUAGUAGGUGGGGUAACGGCUCACCUAGGCGACGAUCCCUAGCUGGCUUGAGAGGAUGACCAGCCACACUGGAACAGAGACGAGGUCCAGACUCCUACGGGAGGCAGCAGUGGGGAAUAUUGCACAAUGGGCGCAAGCCUGAUGCAGCCAUGCCGCGUGUAUGAAGAAGGCCUUCGGGUUGUAAAGUACUUUCAGCGGGGAGGAAGGUGUUGAGGUUAAUAACCUCAGCAAUUGACGUUACCCGCAGAAGAAGCACCGGCUAACUCCGUGCCAGCCGCCGCAGUAA
Molecule: ribosomal RNA, 504 nt
Filed under: uncultured bacterium
Lineage: Bacteria
Description: partial 16S ribosomal RNA
Rfam family: Bacterial small subunit ribosomal RNA
Source: RNAcentral